UACGGAGGGUGCAAACGUUGCUCGGAAUCACUGGGCGUAAAGCGAGCGUAGGCGGCCAUGUAAGUCGGGUGUGAAAGCCCUCGGCUCAACCGAGGAAGUGCAUUCGAAACUGCAUGGCUUGAGUCUCGGAGAGGAAGGUGGAAUGCUUGGUGUAGAGGUGAAAUUCGUAGAUAUCAAGCAGAACACCUGCGGCGAAGGCGGCCUUCUGGACGAUGACUGACGCUGAGACGCGAAAGCGUGGGGAGCAAACAGG
RNAcentral lists this ribosomal RNA (253 nucleotides) under uncultured bacterium. RNAcentral describes it as "partial 16S ribosomal RNA". It matches the Rfam family "Bacterial small subunit ribosomal RNA", at positions 524 to 776 of the family's 1533-position model. The record is from RNAcentral.